CUACCCGCUGAACUUAAGCAUAUCAAUAAAGCGGAGGAA
RNAcentral lists this ribosomal RNA (39 nucleotides) under Rhizoctonia solani. Its description in RNAcentral is "partial 28S ribosomal RNA". The record is from RNAcentral. Lineage: Eukaryota; Fungi; Basidiomycota; Agaricomycetes; Cantharellales; Ceratobasidiaceae.